CCGCUGAACUUAAGCAUAUCAAUAAGCGGAGGAAAAGAAACCAACAGGGAUUGCCUCAGUAACGGCGAGUGAAGCGGCAACAGCUCAAAUUUGAAAUCUGGCUCUUUCAGGGUCCGAGUUGUAAUUUGUAGAAGAUGCUUCGGGCGUGGCUCCGGUCUAAGUUCCUUGGAACAGGACGUCAUAGAGGGUGAGAAUCCCGUAUGUGACUGGGUGCCUAUGCUCAUGUGAAGCUCUUUCGACGAGUCGAGUUGUUUGGGAAUGCAGCUCUAAAUGGGUGGUAAAUUUCAUCUAAAGCUAAAUACUGGCCAGAGACCGAUAGCGCACAAGUAGAGUGAUCGAAAGAUGAAAAGCACUUUGGAAAGAGAGUUAAACAGUACGUGAAAUUGUUGAAAGGGAAGCGCUUGCAACCAGACUUGCAUGCAGCUGAUCAUCCGGUGUUCUCACCGGUGCACUCAGCUGUGUUCAGGCCAGCAUCGGUUUCGGUGGUUGGAUAAAGGCCUUGGGAAUGUAGCUUCCUUCGGGGAGUGUUAUAGCCCGCGGUGCAAUGCAGCCUACUGGGACCGAGGACCGCGCUUCGGCUAGGAUGCUGGCGUAAUGGUUGUAAGCGACCCGUCUUGAAACACGGACCAAGGAGUCUAACAUCUAUGCGAGUGUUUGGGUGUCAAACCCAUACGCGUAAUGAAAGUGAACGGAGGUGAGAACUCUUAAGAGUGCAUCAUCGACCGAUCCUGAUGUCUUCGGAUGGAUUUGAGUAAGAGCAUAGCUGUUGGGACCCGAAAGAUGGUGAACUAUACUUGAAUAGGGUGAAGCCAGAGGAAACUCUGGUGGAGGCUCGCAGCGGUUCUGACGUGCAAAUCGAUCGUCAAAUUUGGGUAUAGGGGCGAAAGACUAAUCGAACCAUCUAGUAGCUGGUUCCUGCCGAAGUUUCCCUCAGGAA
This 937-nucleotide ribosomal RNA is filed under the name Micraspis acicola. RNAcentral describes it as "partial large subunit ribosomal RNA". It matches the Rfam family "Eukaryotic large subunit ribosomal RNA", at positions 25 to 979 of the family's 3401-position model. Lineage: Eukaryota; Fungi; Ascomycota; Leotiomycetes; Micraspidales; Micraspidaceae. The record is from RNAcentral.